UUGUUUUAAAUUUCUUCGCGAUGUUAGACAACCAUCGCUCCACUAAAUCGAGGUCUAGAGUUCCAUCAAGAGUAGGAAGAUUCACUUUACCAAGCUCCUUAAAAUGAUGUUUAAGACUCUUAUCUCCUUUUUGUUGCUCUUGUUGUUGUUGCUAGUUUUGUCAUUGAAAACUUUAAGCAAAUUGGAGAGCCAUGGCAAAGACACUAGGAUCCAUAUGACUAAGCAUUUGAGCCAUAGCACUAGCAUUGCCUUUAGAAAUCCCUUGAGAGGUUCCCUUGGUCCUCCUCCUUUGAGAUAUCCAUCCAGCAUCUGACAAAAACUUGCCUGGAGGUAUAUUCAUAUCCUGCUCUUCUUCAUGCACUUCAGGUCCAAGAUCUUCCAAUAUUACAUCAUCUUCAUUAAAUUCUUCACCAAAAGUUGCUUUUUGUCUCUGUGUUGGUGCCAAAAGUUGUAAAUGCAAACUCAUAAUUAACAAUAACUAACAAGACCAAGCUAGCCUACCACAAACUUUAAUCAUAACAUCAAAGUAGUAUUUAGACACCAAAAUUGAAAAUAGAUCAGUUUACACAAAGGCUGGCCACUCCUAAGUGCAAACUUACUACAUUCCAAUUUCUGUCCAACAUACAAUCUAAGUCCCAAGAAAAUACAAUUCGUGUUUAUUCUUAGAUCACAAACAUAAUCCAAAACUUAAGUUCUAAUACCACUAAAAUGUCAUGCCCCAAAAUUGGAACAAAACAUUGCUAUAUCUCAUAAUAAGACUACAAGACACAAAGCAUCAUAAUCUAUAUAGCUAAUAUUUUUGCAAAAUCAUCUUCUUAACCAUUCAUACUAUUUACAAUUACAUUCCAAUGGCAAUGUCAAUGCUAGUCCCAAAUUCAACCUAAGAUAUAAUUUACAACCAUUCAUUGCCAGAUUUACAUAUCUAAUACAAAAAACAAUGUCCAAUGUACAACCAUAAGGCUGUAACAAAACGAGCCUUAAUCCUUCUCUUCUAACACCAAACUGUAUCACAAUCUCCUCAUAAACGCAUCAUCCUCUGAAAAAUACAACAAAUGAGGUAAGCAAACAUUUGCCCAAUAAGUAGUUCAGGUACUUAUCUAGCAUUUGGCAUGAAUAGGUUAUACAUAAUAUAUUUCAAAAUACAUGAGUUGUUAGAAUAUUUAAUCGAAUCACAUUAAAUACUUAGCUAUUAACUCACAAAUAAGCUCAUGAAUUCUUAGCCUUUGUCGUUAACCGAAUAUCCAGUCCUGACUUUUUGUCUCAUUAGGUAGGCCAGAUAGAAGGUUCCUAGCUAUUUGCUCCGCUAGGUAGGCUAGACAGACAAAAUUGUGGAACUAGUUCCAAUGACAGUAACCAAGAAAUCACGAGCUCAGAAUGCAAACCAAACAUAGCAUUCAUACUUCAUAAACAAUUCAUUCUCAUUAUCAUAAUCAUUCAUACAUCAAAUAUGAAACGUAUCUCUACUCAUGCCAAAUUUCAUAAUAAGAUAAGCAAUUGAAGCUAAUUUUUUUUUUAAAAAAAAUUGAGUUAGAAGUAUAGAGAGUACAGAAACCACUUACCUUAGCCAAAAUAACCAAUACCCAACUUAACUCAAGUAAUCCUUGUGAUACAUGCUCUCUCUACCUAUAAAACGAGAGCCUAGUUCAAUCUCUAACUCUUAAAAAAAUAGAGUAACUAUCAGUAUAUCAAUUAGUACUAAUCCCCAAACUAACAAGACCAAACGAAACGAUUUAGGAGUGAAAAAUAGAGAAAGUGAGAAAAUACAAAUUGAAAUAAACAGAACCGGACUUGCUCUAAGCCAAAUAUAAGCUUCGGGACUUCAUUUCCACAAGUCCCAACUCCAACUACUAGUCACUUCUUGUCAAAAGUUCAACACCAAUCAAGUGCUAUAAAUUAAGCUUAAACAUGUAUCCAACCAAGUAAUCUAAACAUGUUAUGAUCAAGAGAUCAUUUGCUUCCAAAAUCCUUAUUGGUUAAUAUCGUCCCACUAUAUUCACCCAUAAAGUAACAAAUAAACUUAGUACAUACCUUGAAGAGAGGUUAUUAAUUAAUCUCCAAGCAUCUCACUUGUUCCAAAUCUUUGAUUUGCAAGAUUUUCACUUUAAUUAAGAGAGGGAAUAUAGGGAGAUUUUAGAGAGAGAAAGUGGGAAGGGUAUGAAAGAGUAAAGUAAGGUCUAACUCAAUUCUUCCAAUAUAAAACUUGUUCAUAUUGUUAAUUAGUCCCCCAACUUCUAACUUAAUCACAUAAACCCCAAAGUUCUAUAAUCUCACUAACAAAACCCAUGAAGAAAGUUAUUAUGAUUUGCGUAUUACAUUUGAAAGACACCUUCUCCAGAAACAAGUGUCUAUUAGCCAAAAAGAAGCUAUUCCGUGUAAGAUGCUAUGCUCAUAUCCUCAACCUAAUGGUUUAGGAUGGUCUCGAUGAAAUCCAAGAUGUGGUUCAAGCCAUACGAGACAGUGAUGAGUUUGU
RNAcentral lists this long non-coding RNA (2470 nucleotides) under Coffea arabica (coffee). RNAcentral describes it as "long non-coding RNA (CARA_LNC004762)". The record is from RNAcentral. Lineage: Eukaryota; Viridiplantae; Streptophyta; Magnoliopsida; Gentianales; Rubiaceae.